RNAcentral lists this unclassified non-coding RNA (189 nucleotides) under uncultured fungus. RNAcentral's name for it is "sequence contains ITS1, 5.8S rRNA gene". The record is from RNAcentral. Lineage: Eukaryota; Fungi.
AAAGGCGGCUCUUUGAAGCCGACGGCGGACCCCGCGGCUCCUUCAGGGAGUUUAGGGGCUGCCGACGCGGGAUCUUCCUGCUAUCCUUUGUCUAUAUGUACCCUUUUUUCCUCAGCGGGCUUGCCUGCUGCUGGACCUUUUGAACAAACCUUUUGAUAACCAAUUGUCUGAAUCAAAAUUAAUUACUUA